This 636-nucleotide long non-coding RNA is filed under the name Struthio camelus australis. Its description in RNAcentral is "lncRNA (ENSSCUG00000013564.1)". The record is from RNAcentral. Lineage: Eukaryota; Metazoa; Chordata; Aves; Struthioniformes; Struthionidae.
AUGAUUCUCUCCUUGGUCUGCUAAAAUAUCACUCACCUUUCUAAUUUUUUUAAAGUUUUGAGUCUAUUAUGAGUGAAGCAUAUUGUGCUGCCAUUGCCAUACUGAUAUAUUUAAGGUAGUGUUGAAAUAAUAUCUGACCGGGAUUUUUCUUCUCUCUUGGACAGCGGUCUACAAAAAUCUAACAGUGAAUAACUUGAUUUGAGGAACUGAGUAAUUCUUGAUUGUUCACAACUGAACACACCGAGCAGCGUUUGGCUUCUAUCACUUCACAACCCCCACAGAAGGAGGAAUUCAGGCAUCUGCUGUUGGGAAACAGGAAACUGUGCUCGAUGGACUCUCACCCACUCAGAGGAACUCUAACGCAAUUGAAUUAAGAGCCUAUUUCCAGCAGAGGCCUCUUGCUGACAUUAUGAAGUCCAAAGUGCAGCGCACAAACAGAAGAGUCCGUACAAUGGGAUACCUGUGACAUCUGUUAUAUUUUGCAGCACAGUAAGAGCCAUAUUUUAUUUUACACAUUACCUUGGGCAACAAAUAGCGCAGAGUGUGGGGGAAUGGUCUCUCUCAAACUCUUUUGCCUUGAAUGGAAAGUGAAGUUGCUGCAUCCUUCAAACGACAGUGCUCACUUCUCUCCUCAGG